Long non-coding RNA from Bombina bombina (fire-bellied toad), 298 nucleotides. RefSeq lists it as uncharacterized. The transcript has 3 exons. Lineage: Eukaryota; Metazoa; Chordata; Amphibia; Anura; Bombinatoridae. The record is from RefSeq and is a predicted model, not a curated record.
UGCACAGCGGGCUGGGAUGCUGCAGGGCGUCCCGGCGCACCGAAGCCUCCUCAGAGAUGAGGAGGAUGAUCCUGUUCUAGAGGGGCCAUUCCGGGACGAGGGGCUCAAUGUCAGAGCAGACAUCAUCAACCGCCACUUUAGACGGUGAUGCUCUGUGCAUUGGGUCCUGUAGCGAGUCUUUGCCGCCUGGUUUUUAAAGAGGACUUCAGCUGGGAGCUGACUUAAUCUAAAGACUGAAAGGGAAGAAUUAGAAGCCUGACAGUGAAGAUUGCCCAGACUGACAGUGGAAAAAGCCAAG